GAUGAACGCUGGCGGCGUGCCUAAUACGUGCAAGUCGAGCGAACGGACGAGAAGCUUGCUUCUCUGAUGUUAGCGGCGGACGGGUGAGUAACACGUGGAUAACCUACCUAUAAGACUGGGAUAACUUCGGGAAACCGGAGCUAAUACCGGAUAAUAUUUUGAACCGCAUGGUUCAAAAGUGAAAGACGGUCUUGCUGUCACUUAUAGAUGGAUCCGCGCUGCAUUAGCUAGUUGGUAAGGUAACGGCUUACCAAGGCAACGAUGCAUAGCCGACCUGAGAGGGUGAUCGGCCACACUGGAACUGAGACACGGUCCAGACUCCUACGGGAGGCAGCAGUAGGGAAUCUUCCGCAAUGGGCGAAAGCCUGACGGAGCAACGCCGCGUGAGUGAUGAAGGUCUUCGGAUCGUAAAACUCUGUUAUUAGGGAAGAACAUAUGCGUAAGUAACUGUGCACAUCUUGACGGUACCUAAUCAGAAAGCCACGGCUAACUACGUG
Molecule: ribosomal RNA, 497 nt
Filed under: uncultured bacterium
Lineage: Bacteria
Description: partial 16S ribosomal RNA
Rfam family: Bacterial small subunit ribosomal RNA
Source: RNAcentral